Molecule: long non-coding RNA, 376 nt
Organism: Eurytemora carolleeae
Lineage: Eukaryota; Metazoa; Arthropoda; Copepoda; Calanoida; Temoridae
Exons: 3
Source: RefSeq, a predicted model, not a curated record
ACUCGAAUACAAUGCCUGCAAGACAUGCAAAGUGACAUUAUCUACAAUUCCUGGAAUCUGCGCCAAAUAAUAUAAUUGCUGCAUUCACGCGUUCAACAACCUUUAUGUUAAACGAGUGAAGAAAACUUGGAGAUUUCAAUUUAACUAUUGAACGGACUAUUUGUUAAAUGUAAGGAGAACAUGCUUUACUAGAAAUUAAAGAUUUGCAAAAUGGUUGUGAGAUGUCUGUUUGUGUGCUUAUGUGUGUGUGUGUCUGUUCCAUCAGGAUCUGGUAAUGUGGAGGGAAGCCUAGGGGGUGGAUGGCACUACAAAGGCAGAAUAUAUUUCCAUAUUUUUCUUAUUAAGCUUUCAUUUUUCUUUGGCAGGGUAUCUCAAG